This is a long non-coding RNA of Bos taurus (domestic cattle), 3889 nucleotides long. NCBI's taxonomy places the organism in Eukaryota, Metazoa, Chordata, Mammalia, Artiodactyla, Bovidae. The record is from Ensembl.
GUGAAGUCUUUGUAUACAUAUACCUAGAGCAUGAGGGCGGAGAAGGCAAUGGCACCCCACUCCAGUACUCUUGCCUGGAAAAUCCCAUGGAUGGAGGAGCCUGGUAGGCUGCAGUCCAUGGGGUCACUGAGUAAGACAUGACUGAGUGACUUCACUUUCACUUUUCACUUUUCAUGCAUUGGAGAAGGAAAUGGCAACCCCUUCCAGUGUUCUUGCCUGGAGAAUCCCAGGGACGGGGGAGCCUGUUGGACUGCCGUCUGUGGGGUUGCACAGAGUCGGACACGACUGAAGUGACUUAGUUUAGCAGAGCAUGAGGACAGUAGAUGGCAUUAUGAGAGAAAAAUGAAGUGAUAGUUCUUCAAGAACUGUCUUGUUUAGACAAAGAAAGUCUUUUUUUUUUUUUUUUAAUUCAGGUCACCCAGAUUUUUCUCCAGGUUCUGCUGACUGAUCUACCUUAUACUUCCACUAUUUAAUUCCACACCAGUUUGAACAGAGAAUUCACUUUUUUGUCUUGUGUAAUGCACUUGUGUACAAAGUUCUCAGUCUUCUGCGCUUAUCGCGGUUUGCCUUGCACAGAGCAUUCGUGACUUUUUGUCAGUUUACCCUUGCCUUACUAUCUGGAGAGUGAAGGCUGCUGUCAUCCUUGGUCAGGUUGGGCUGACUUCUGUGCGGGCCCAGCAGUGCCCUCUCUGGCCCCUCUCUAUUUCUUUGUACCUGCUCUUACCACAAACAGCAGCGUUCUUGCCCAUGGGAACAAUUUUCACGCUCCUGGAGUCCCUUGUGAUAUGAGUCUAAGACUAAACUGCUGUCCCUUUGUAUGGAGUCCUGGGUAUCAAACUAUUGCCACGUCAAGUUUUCUUUAUAUAGGUCAGUUUUUGUGGAAGGUCUAGACACUUCAGAGAAUGGAGGGCUAUAUAAAAUGUAUAUAUUUUAUACUAUAUAUGAAUUAUAUCGGGAUUAAAGAUACUUACAUUUUCUAUAGCCUUUUUGGUCCAUAUGCUUAGUCAUGAUUUGAGAGAGAGGUAAGUUAAACAUUCUACUUACAGGUUAUUGUCAAGUUCUCCUUUUAUUUUCUUUGGUUUUUUACUUUUUUCCUGUACCAUAUGUGGCUAUGUUUUCUGUACAAUAUGUUGCUUAUGAACUCAGAAUUGUCAGAUUUCCAUUGUGAGUUUUACCUUGAUCUUUAUAUUUUUAUAUUAUUUUUUUCCUCACUGAAUGCUUUUGAAAUUCCAGAUAUUACGAAUAUGACCUAUUUUAUUUUGGCUUGCACUUGCCUGAUACACCUUUAUUUAUCAUUUUAUUUUUGAUAUUGUGUUGAUUGAUUUAGGGAUUUUAUUUUAAUAUACAGUACUAUGUAGUAGAUUUUGCUUUGUGAUUCUAUUUUAGUAUCUUAUUUCAUAUAUUAGAAUAGUCUAGUUGUAUUCAUUUAUAUGUAGUGUAUCUUUGCUCUUAAGUUAUGCUUUCUGGUAUUAUUGCUUAGUUUAUCUUUUUGUAGAGGGAUACUUUUCAUUGCAAGUAAGAAAAACUUCAAAUGAAAUAAAUUUAAAGUUUAAAGAAGGUACAAAGUUGGUGAGCUCCAGCCACAGUUCUAUCAGGAUGGCUGCGUGUUGCCGUGUUCAUGUCCAGCACAACAGAAACUGAGGAAGACUCUCCUUCAGCCAUGGAACUGCUGGGCAAGAGGAUAGAGUGCCGAAUAGCCAGAUGCUUUAAUUCCAUUUUUAGCAAUGAAGUUUGUGCAUGUGAAACAUGCAUGUGGAACCACCUGGUUAGAAGGUUUUUUCCAACACUGUCAAAGCCUCUUCAGGAACAAAGCAAAGUCACCGCUCCGAAAAGUUCCAAAACCACUGCUGAUGGUGACUGCAGCCAUGAAAUUAAAAGACGCUUGCUCCUUGGAAGAAAAGCUAUGACCAGCCCAGACAGCAUAUUAAAAAGCAGAGACAUUCAUUACUUUGCCAACAUAGGUCUGUCUAGUCACGGCUAUGGUUUUGCCAGUAGUCAUGUAUGGAUGUGAGAAUUGGACUAUAAAGAAAGCUGAACACUGAAGAAUUAAUGCUUUUGAACUGUGGUGUUGGAGAAGACUCUUGAGUGUCCCUUGGACUGCAAGGAUAUCCAACCAGUCCAUCCUAAAGGAGCUUAGUCCUGAAUAUUCAUUGGAAGGACUGAUGCUGAAUCUGAAACGCCAAUACUUUGGCCACCUGGUGCAAAGAACUGACUCACUGGAAAAGACCCUGAUUCUGGGAAAGAUUGAAGGCAGGAGGAGAAGGGAUGAGGUGGUUGGGUGGUAUCACCAACUCAAUGGACAUGAGUUUGAGUAAACUCCAGUUGGUGAUGAACAGGGAAGCCUGGCAUGCUGCAGUCCAUGGGGUCACAAAGAGUCAGACAUGACUGAGCGACUGAACUGAACUGAUUUUGUUAGAAAAUCUUUGCAUUAAAUAUUUAAGAAAACAUGGUCAAUUGAGUCAGCUUGUGAUUCCAAUUGUAAGAUGUGUAAUUGAUUUAAUUUGAUUUUAACCUGAAAUCAAACUUAAUUUUUAGAUGUAUAAGAAUUAUAUGAGCACCUUGGAUUAUUUGUCAGAUGUUUAAAUAUUUAAAAUACUUUUUAAAAUGCUUAAACAAGCGUCAUGGAGCAAGCUAGUUAAUGGACUGAAUAAAAGGAUCCUUUAAAAAUUGAUUAAAAUUUGCUAGACUUACAAAUAAAAUAAUGUCUUAAAGUCAGCUUAAGUCCUUAGGAAUUUUGAAUUUCUAACUUUACUAAGUGAAACAUUUUAAAAACCAAAGUGUUCUCUGAAUGUUCUCUCUUGUAUCCCCGGGCUGCCCUGGACAGUAUUACAGAACUCACAUUAACAGAGUCUGCUGCCCUUGUGUUCCAGUCUGGACUGAUUGCUCUCUAAGCCUGCUGCCCCUACUUACCUGUGUUAGCUUCAUGUGACCCAGACUCUGUACACAUGCGUUCCUCUGAAUCUCAAGGCCACACCCAUCACACUAAAAGGAUUCAGCAUUCUUUCAGGAAGGAGGAAGGGCAAACAUGUCAGGGGCUGGGUAAGAAGUAGAUGUCGAAUAGAAGACCAUUGGUUUUCUGGAAAUCUUGAAAUCUAUUUCAAAGGCUGUCUGCCAAACAGGCUUUCCUCCAAGCCCCAUCCUGUCCUUGCCUCACAUAGUACUCUAUGCCCCAACCCCUCAGUGUUUCUUGGUUUCUUGGAGCAGCUGGUUUGCUUUUCUUUGGUGUCUCCAUCUGCGGUGCCUUCGGAUGCAAUUGCCUCUGCUCUCCAGUAACACGAUGUGUGCCUUCUACUUUCCAAAAACCUGUUGAUACCCUGAUAUUCCUUUCAUUCAUACUCUUUAUGGUUUGUUAUUGUUCCUUUCUUGUCAUUUUAGAAUGGUUUGAGAAGGAGUUAUAGUUAAAUUGCACGAGUUCAGCUUUCAUUAUUGGCUUCACCCAUCAUUUUUAUGGUAUGUAUUAACGUUCAACUAGUUGAACUAGCAUAAUUUGUUUAAAGUCCCAAUUGAAGAUCACUUAAAUUUCUUCUUUUUCUUUCUUGUCGGCUUGUUUUCUUCUGGUUUGGUCUUUGGUAUGGUUCAACCCUUAAUCUUGUAUAUUGCCGUCAGUGUGAUAAGCAAUUUAUCUUUUAAUCUACCCAAAUUUAGAUUAAAGUGAAAGUGAAAUCGCUCAGUCGUGUCUGACUUUUUGCGACCCCAUGGACUGUAGCCUACCAGGCUUCUCCGUUAAGGAGUAAUAUUUCUUUCAAAAAUCAAAAUACUCUGCAAAGUAAAUAAGUAAAAUUUAAAGUAAAAGUCUGGCUUAAAAAAGUACCAAGUAGACUCUUUGGUGUUAAUAUCCUUUUCCAUAACCACCUUAAUAAAUUUAACUCCAUUAUGUACCAUAUUCCAC